Molecule: ribosomal RNA, 773 nt
Filed under: uncultured Neocallimastigales
Lineage: Eukaryota; Fungi; Neocallimastigomycota; Neocallimastigomycetes; Neocallimastigales
Description: partial large subunit ribosomal RNA
Rfam family: Eukaryotic large subunit ribosomal RNA
Source: RNAcentral
AGAGAGAGACAUGCGUGCAUAUCAAUAAGCGGAGGAAAAGAAACUAACUAGGAUUCCCUCAGUAACGGCGAGUGAAGCGGGAAGAGCUCAAAUUUGAAAUCUUAAAGGUUUCCCUUGACGAAUUGUAGUUUAAAGAAGUGUUUUCUGUUGGAGUUUUGGUAAAAGUUCUUUGGAAUAGGACAUCAUAGAGGGUGAGAAUCCCGUAUUUGACCAUUAUUUCCAGCUUUGUGAUACACUUUCAAAGAGUCGGAUUGUUUGGGAAUGCAGUCCAAAAUGGGUGGUAAAUUUCAUCUAAAGCUAAAUACUGGCGAGAGACCGAUAGCGAACAAGUACCGUGAGGGAAAGAUGAAAAGAACUUUGAAAAGAGAGUUAAACAGUACGUGAAAUUGUCAAAAGGGAAGCGUUUGACACCAGUGUUGUUUUCUCGAAAAUCAAUUAAAAAAGGCAGGAUUUUGUGUUGUAUUGACUUUAUCAGCUUUCUGCACUCUUUUCUUGUCUUUUUUAAUGCACUUUUCGUUUAACAAGUCAACAUCAAUUUCUUUUGUUGUAAAAGGGUCAUUGGAAGGUGGCUUUCUUUUCGGAGAAAGUGUUUAUAGCCUUUGGCCUCUGCAAUCGGAGAGAUUGAGGUCUGCAGCGUAGAUCCUUCGGGGUUAGAUACAUUUGUGCUAAGUUAUAGCCUUUCAUAGACAACUUGUUGACUAUGAUCAGUCAUGUAGCUUACUCGCUUAUGCUAUUUUACCUACGCUUAGGAUGUUGAUGUGAUACUGCGAGCA